RNAcentral lists this long non-coding RNA (203 nucleotides) under Homo sapiens (human). RNAcentral's name for it is "HSALNT0385174". Lineage: Eukaryota; Metazoa; Chordata; Mammalia; Primates; Hominidae. The record is from RNAcentral.
CCCUCUUCCCCUGCAUUGGGGCGCUCUGUCUUGGGGCUGCAGCCGGCCUCCUCAGCUCGAGUGUAACAACAGUCGUGGCCAUGGCAGCACCUGCGGAUGUCACAUGGGCAGGACAGCAGGUGGGUGAAGCUCUCUCCUGGCCCUCCUCUCUUGCCAGGACCAUGGGUGACUGAAGACCCCCAGGGAGGCACAGCAUCCUCUUA